This 308-nucleotide small RNA is filed under the name Homo sapiens (human). Its description in RNAcentral is "partial non-coding RNA oral cancer-overexpressed 1". Lineage: Eukaryota; Metazoa; Chordata; Mammalia; Primates; Hominidae. The record is from RNAcentral.
AUGGCUGGCAGUCAGGACAUAUUCGAUGCCAUCGUGAUGGCGGAUGAGAGAUCGGGUGCUACCAAGGUUUUGCUUUUGCAUGGAAAUGUCUACUGCACAGUUGCACCACUGAGAAGGACAGCAGAAAGAUGAAGGUCUUAGAAUCAUUGAUUGGAAUGAUCCAGAAAUUCCCUUAUGAUGACCCUACUUACGAUAAACUCCAUGAAGACUUAGACAAGAUCAGAGGAAAAUUUAAACAGUUUUGUUCGUUACUCAAUGUUCAGCCAGACUUUAAAAUUAGUGCAGAAGGUUCCGGACUUUCAUUUUGA